GAUGAACGCUGGCGGCGUGCCUAAUACAUGCAAGUCGAGCGAACGGACGAGAGUGUUGCUUCUCUGAUGUUAGCGGCGGACGGGUGAGUAACAUGUGUAUAAACUACCUAUAAGACUGGGAUAACUUUGGGAAACCGGAGCUAAUACCGGAUAAUAUUUUGAAACGCAUGGUUCAAAAGUGAAAGACGGUCUUGCUGUCACUUAUGGCUGGAUCCGCGCUGCAUUAGCUAGUUGGUAAGGUAACGACUUACCAAGGCAACGAUGCAUAGCCGACCUCAGAGGGUGAUCGGCCACACUGGAACUGAGACACGGUCCAGACUCCUACGGGAGGCAGCAGUAGAGAAUCUUCCGCGAUGGGCGAGAGCCUGACGGAGCAACGCCGCGUGAGUGCUGAAGGUCUUCGGAUCGUAAAACUCUGUUAUUAGUGAAGAACAUAUGUUUAAGUAGCUGUGCACAUCUUGACGGUACCUAAUCAAAAAGCCACGGCUAACUACGUG
Molecule: ribosomal RNA, 497 nt
Filed under: uncultured bacterium
Lineage: Bacteria
Description: partial 16S ribosomal RNA
Rfam family: Bacterial small subunit ribosomal RNA
Source: RNAcentral